GACGAACGCUGGCGGCGUGCUUAACACAUGCAAGUCGAACGGAAAGGCCCUUCUUUUGUGGGGUGCUCGAGUGGCGAACGGGUGAGUAACACGUGAGUACCCUUCCCUUGACUUUGGGAUAACUUCAGGAAACUGGGGCUAUUACCGGAUAGGAGCUCCUGCUGCAUGGUGGGGGUUGGAAAGUUGCGGCGGUUGGGGUUGGACGGGCGGGUUAUCAGCUUGUUGGUGGGGGAGUGGCUUACCAAGGCUUUGAAGGGUAGCCGGCCUGAGGGGGGGACCGGCGACAAGGGGACUGAGAUACGGACCAGACGCGAAUGGGAGGCAGCAGUGGGGAAUAUGGCACAAUGGGCGGAAGUCUGAGGAAGAAACGCCGCGGGCGGGAUGAAGGCCUGUGGGUUGUAAACCGCUUUCGCCUGUGACGAAGCGUGAGUGACGGUAAUGGGUAAAGAAGCACCGGCUAACUACGUG
This 468-nucleotide ribosomal RNA is filed under the name uncultured bacterium. Its description in RNAcentral is "partial 16S ribosomal RNA". It matches the Rfam family "Bacterial small subunit ribosomal RNA", at positions 28 to 507 of the family's 1533-position model. The record is from RNAcentral.